Molecule: ribosomal RNA, 253 nt
Filed under: uncultured bacterium
Lineage: Bacteria
Description: partial 16S ribosomal RNA
Rfam family: Bacterial small subunit ribosomal RNA
Source: RNAcentral
UACAGAGGUCCCAAGCGUUGUUCGGAUUUACUGGGCGUAAAGGGUGCGUAGGUGGUUGGGUAAGUCUGAUGUGAAAUCUCCGGGCUCAACCCGGAAAUGGCAUUGGAUACUAUCUGACUAGAGGGUUGGAGGGGGGACUGGAAUACUUGGUGUAGCAGUGAAAUGCGUAGAUAUCAAGUGGAACACCAGUGGCGAAGGCGAGUCCCUGGACAACUCCUGACACUGAGGCACGAAAGCUAGGGGAGCAAACAGG